RNAcentral lists this ribosomal RNA (307 nucleotides) under Alviniconcha boucheti. RNAcentral describes it as "partial small subunit ribosomal RNA". Lineage: Eukaryota; Metazoa; Mollusca; Gastropoda; Provannidae. The record is from RNAcentral.
UGAUUAUAAAUUAAUCUAAAUUUACCAGAGUACUAUGAACAUGCAGUUUAAAACUCAAAGGGCUUGGCGGUGCUUUAGACUCUUCAGGGGAACCUGUCUCGUAAUCGAUAGUCCACGAUAUACCUAACCUUUUUUAGACAUCAGUAUGUAUACCGUCGUCGUCAGGUAACUUUUAAAAAUAAAGAAGUUAGCAACAAAAAUUAGAAUAAUUUUGUACGUCAGAUCAAGGUGCAGCUCAUAAAAAGGUGAGGAUGGGUUACAAUUAAGAAUUAUAAUAACGGAAAGAGGUUUGGCAUAACCUCUAAUG